Molecule: ribosomal RNA, 120 nt
Filed under: Pogona vitticeps (central bearded dragon)
Lineage: Eukaryota; Metazoa; Chordata; Lepidosauria; Squamata; Agamidae
Source: RNAcentral
GGAGAGGGUUCCCACUUAAAAGCCCUGAACACACAAAUAUAAUCUGAUUUCAGACACUAAGCAGGGUUGGCCUCAUUAGUACUCGGAAGGGAGACCAUCAAGGAAGAGCAGGGAUCUCCA